AGGCAGCAGUUGGGAAUUUUGGACAAUGGACGCAAGUCUGAUCCAGCCAUGCCGCGUGCGGGAAGAAGGCCUUCGGGUUGUAAACCGCUUUUGUCAGGGAAGAAAAGGGUGUUUCUAAUAAAGACGCCUCAUGACGGUACCUGAAGAAUAAGCACCGGCUAACUACGUGCCAGCAGCCGCGGUAAUACGUAGGGUGCAAGCGUUAAUCGGAAUUACUGGGCGUAAAGCGUGCGCAGGCGGUUAUGCAAGACAGAGGUGAAAUCCCCGGGCUCAACCUGGGAACUGCCUUUGUGACUGCAUAGCUAGAGUACGGUAGAGGGGGAUGGAAUUCCGCGUGUAGCAGUGAAAUGCGUAGAUAUGCGGAGGAACACCGAUGGCGAAGGCAAUCCCCUGGACCUGUACUGACGCUCAUGCACGAAAGCGUGGGGAUCAAACAGGAUUAGAUACCCCGGUAG
This 455-nucleotide ribosomal RNA is filed under the name uncultured bacterium. Its description in RNAcentral is "bacterial SSU rRNA". It matches the Rfam family "Bacterial small subunit ribosomal RNA", at positions 346 to 793 of the family's 1533-position model. The record is from RNAcentral.